RNAcentral lists this long non-coding RNA (227 nucleotides) under Olea europaea (common olive). Its description in RNAcentral is "long non-coding RNA (OEUR_LNC009529)". The record is from RNAcentral. Lineage: Eukaryota; Viridiplantae; Streptophyta; Magnoliopsida; Lamiales; Oleaceae.
GCCCUUCUUUGACUCUGUCUCUAAUGACCAAAUAUUUGAUGUCAAUAUGUUUUGAUCCACCAGAACUUUUAUUAUUCUUUGAAAAGAAUACUGCUGCACUGUUAUCACAGUAGAUGGUGAUCGGUCUUGCGAUGGAAUCAACAACUUUCAAACCAGAGAUGAAAUUUCUUAACCAAACGGCUUGGACUGUAGCCCCAUAACAUGCCACAAAUUUAGCUUGCAUAGUA